RNAcentral lists this ribosomal RNA (429 nucleotides) under Bacteroidota bacterium. Its description in RNAcentral is "Bacteroidetes bacterium partial 16S ribosomal RNA". It matches the Rfam family "Bacterial small subunit ribosomal RNA", at positions 355 to 776 of the family's 1533-position model. Lineage: Bacteria; Pseudomonadati; Bacteroidota. The record is from RNAcentral.
UAGGGAAUCUUCCGCAAUGGACGCAAGUCUGACGGAGCAACGCCGCGUGAGUGAAGAAGGAUUUCGGUUCGUAAAACUCUGUUGUUAGAGAAGAACAGCGCAUAGAGUAACUGUUAUGCGUGUGACGGUAUCUAACCAGAAAGCCACGGCUAACUACGUGCCAGCAGCCGCGGUAAUACGUAGGUGGCAAGCGUUGUCCGGAUUUAUUGGGCGUAAAGCGAGCGCAGGCGGUCAAUUAAGUCUGAUGUGAAAGCCCCCGGCUCAACCGGGGAGGGUCAUUGGAAACUGGUUGACUUGAGUGCAGAAGAGGAGAGUGGAAGUCCAUGUGUAGCGGUGAAAUGCGUAGAUAUAUGGAGGAACACCGGUGGCGAAAGCGGCUCUCUGGUCUGUAACUGACGCUGAGGCUCGAAAGCGUGGGGAGCGAACAGG